CGGGUGAGUAACACGUGGGCAAUCUGCCCUGCACUCUGGGACAAGCCCUGGAAACGGGGUCUAAUACCGGAUAAUACCUGCCGAGGCAUCUCGGUGGGUUGAAAGCUCCGGCGGUGCAGGAUGAGCCCGCGGCCUAUCAGCUUGUUGGUGGGGUGAUGGCCUACCAAGGCGACGACGGGUAGCCGGCCUGAGAGGGCGACCGGCCACACUGGGACUGAGACACGGCCCAGACUCCUACGGGAGGCAGCAGUGGGGAAUAUUGCACAAUGGGCGAAAGCCUGAUGCAGCGACGCCGCGUGAGGGAUGACGGCCUUCGGGUUGUAAACCUCUUUCAGCAGGGAAGAAGCGCAAGUGACGGUACCUGCAGAAGAAGCGCCGGCUAACUACGUGCCAGCAGCCGCGGUAAUACGUAGGGCGCAAGCGUUGUCCGGAAUUAUUGGGCGUAAAGAGCUCGUAGGCGGCUUGUUGCGUCGGAUGUGAAAGCCCGGGGCUUAACCCCGGGUCUGCAUUCGAUACGGGCAGGCUAGAGUUCGGUAGGGGAGAUCGGAAUUCCUGGUGUAGCGGUGAAAUGCGCAGAUAUCAGGAGGAACACCGGUGGCGAAGGCGGAUCUCUGGGCCGAUACUGACGCUGAGGAGCG
RNAcentral lists this ribosomal RNA (638 nucleotides) under Streptomyces sp. Its description in RNAcentral is "bacterial SSU rRNA". It matches the Rfam family "Bacterial small subunit ribosomal RNA", at positions 103 to 755 of the family's 1533-position model. Lineage: Bacteria; Bacillati; Actinomycetota; Actinomycetes; Kitasatosporales; Streptomycetaceae. The record is from RNAcentral.